GAUGAACGCUAGCGGCAGGCUUAAUACAUGCAAGUCGUGGGGCAGCGCAGGUAGCAAUACUGGGCGGCGACCGGCAAACGGGUGCGGAACACGUACACAACCUUCCGAGAAGUGGGGAAUAGCCCAGAGAAAUUUGGAUUAAUACCCGUAACAUAACGAUGUGGCAUCACAUUGUUAUUAUAGCUUCGGCGCUUCUUGAUGGGUGUGCGGCUGAUUAGAUAGUUGGCGGGGUAACGGCCCACCAAGUCUACGAUCAGUAGCUGAUGUGAGAGCAUGAUCAGCCACACGGGCACUGAGACACGGGCCCGACUCCUACGGGAGGCAGCAGUAAGGAAUAUUGGUCAAUGGACGCAAGUCUGAACCAGCCAUGCCGCGUGAAGGAUUAAGGUCCUCUGGAUUGUAAACUUCUUUUAUCUGGGACGAAAAAGGCGAUUCUUCGUCACUUGACGGUACCAGAUGAAUAAGCACCGGCUAACUCCGUGCCAGCAGCCG
Molecule: ribosomal RNA, 492 nt
Filed under: uncultured bacterium
Lineage: Bacteria
Description: bacterial SSU rRNA
Rfam family: Bacterial small subunit ribosomal RNA
Source: RNAcentral